This is a long non-coding RNA of Nicotiana tabacum (common tobacco), 306 nucleotides long. RefSeq lists it as uncharacterized. NCBI's taxonomy places the organism in Eukaryota, Viridiplantae, Streptophyta, Magnoliopsida, Solanales, Solanaceae. The record is from RefSeq and is a predicted model, not a curated record.
UAACCUAGAAGACAUCGACUUCACUCUCAGACAACGAUUCUCCUAAAAUCUCAAACACCCCUCUCUCUGUUCAUCAACCUAGAACACACCGACGAACUUUGUUGACCACUCCGGUGAAGGACGAUCAUUAUUGGCUAACAUACCACAAUCUCCGAGGAAAAUGAUAAGGAAACUUUGGAUCCUUUAUCAGCAAAGGAAGUCUUUGUAGCUACAAGAAAAAGAAAAGAUGGGCGAUCAUACAAGUGCUCGGAUGAAGAUACAACUAGUAAAAUUGCUGCAAUAGAGGAAAUUGAAGCAUAUCAAAAC